CUUUUGUCUGUUUCCUGCUGUAAUUUCUGCGUACUGGAGUUUGCUGAAUGACCACAUAGGAAUACUGCCCAAUUGAGAAAUGAAGAUUUUCCUCCUUCUCUUGCCAAAGACCACUGGAUACUCUUUAAAAUGUCUGCAGAAAUCUUCAGUGCAUAGGCAUGACAGAAGGACUGACAAUAUUAGCAGUGACAAACCUGGCAAGUUAUUUUUCCUGUAAGAAUCUACAGAUGCUUUUCUUCACAGUGGGCAGCAUUUAUGCCAUGAUCAUGCAAAAAGCAGCGUAUGAAUCAUCAUCUCAUCUGGAGAAUGAAGGAGGAUGAGGCACCUUGUAGAAAGCUCUUUUAAUUUUUUUAAAAAAGAACAAUUAAUCAGAGGAAUGACUUGCCUCCAGAAGUUGUGGAUGCUCCAAUACUGGAUGUGUUUAAGAAGAUAUUGGACAACUAUAUGUCUGAAAUGGUA
This is a long non-coding RNA of Crotalus tigris (Tiger rattlesnake), 459 nucleotides long. RefSeq lists it as uncharacterized. The record is from RefSeq and is a predicted model, not a curated record. NCBI's taxonomy places the organism in Eukaryota, Metazoa, Chordata, Lepidosauria, Squamata, Viperidae. The transcript has 4 exons.